UCUAGAGACAAGGUCUCACUUUGUUGGCCUCCCAAAGUGCUGGAAUUAUAGGCAUGAGCCACUGUGCCCUGCCCAAGAAUAAUGUUGAUGAGAGGAUCCGUGAGGUUCAUCUAUCUGUAGUGCUUCUGGCCAGAGAACAGGCCGAAGAGAGAAAACCCUGAGGAACAUCUUUGACCUGCAUAGAAACUUAUCUGAAGAUUUUCAGAAUCUGAGCCUCACCCUCAGUCUAUCCCAGUUUUAUCCUGACCUGUCCACAUCUGUUAUACUCCAAGGCUUGCUGGGCCCAACACUGGAAGCUAUUUAAUGUUUCUAUUGCGACUGGCCUUUUAAAGCCAGUGGGAUUCUCCAUGCUACACUUGAGCCUGGAGACUAGAAAACAUGACAGCCUGUUUUCA
RNAcentral lists this long non-coding RNA (395 nucleotides) under Pan troglodytes (chimpanzee). RNAcentral describes it as "long non-coding RNA NONPTRT004726". The record is from RNAcentral. Lineage: Eukaryota; Metazoa; Chordata; Mammalia; Primates; Hominidae.